AUGGAAAGCCGGAAUAAGUUUAUUUAUUUGCCUGUACAGAUUUUGAAUUUGAAAAUUGCAGCCCUAGUAGAUACGGGAAGCUCAAUAAAUGUAAUUUCACAACAAUUAUUUAAUUCAAUACCUGAAACUCACAAGUCAUGGGUAAAUUCAACUAGUGAGAAAAUUGUUUUAGCUAAUAACCAAUCUGUUAACAUUAUUGGUGUUUCACGAAUUAAAAUACAAAUUCCACAAGGAAAACAUUGGAUAUUAGUACAUCAUGUAUUUUCACAAACAUCACAUCCGUUAUUAUUAGGCACAGACUAUUUGGUCUCGAAGAAAAUAAUGCUAGAUUUUUCAAAGUUGACCGUAUGUUCCCGUUUCUGUAAAGUGAAAAAUCAAAAGCGUUUGUCAGUUUUGCCAAAUUCUGAGAUGAUAGUAUGGGGCAAAGUUCAUAAUGAUAUUUUACAUGGUAUGCAAGGAAUAUGCACGAACCAUAAUUAUUUGUUUAAAUUAGGUGUUUUGACAGCGAAAUCGGUAGUUUCUGUAAAUAAAGAUAAACUGGUGCCUGUCAAACUGUUUAAUUCUACAAAUGAAAUAGUUGAUAUUCCAAGGGGUCAGAUUGUUGCGAAAUUUGAGAUACUUGACAAUGACUCUGAUUUAAUAGCUACAUGUAUAGGAAAUAGAGAAAAUCCAGAGGUUAAUAAUGUACAGUUUUCGACCGAAAAGUGUGAAGAUGGGGAACUUAGUGGGACAAAAUUUUUCUCCUAUUUUGAUAUUCCAAAACAUUUAUCUGAGUCUGAACAAGGACAAUUGAAAGGGUUUUUAAAAUCGCAUGACAACAUAUUUGUAACAGAUGAAAAUCCUGCUUUAGGUUUCACGGACGUAGUGCAACACAAGAUUAUACUAAAACCGGAUUUCAAGCCAAAAUAUCAGCGAUCGUAUCGCCUUACCCCAGUAAAAAAACAAGUACUUCGGGAUCAUCUCGAUCAUUUGCUAAAACAAGGAAUAAUUUCCCCGGUUGGUGAAACCGAAGAUAUACCCAUCACAAGUCCCAUAGUGUUAGUUUCAAAAAGAGCCAAGGAGUCCCGAAAUAGCCAAAAUAGCGAUUUCAAUCAGUCUUCAAACAGUCUCUCUCAGUUCAGAUUUUGUUGCGAUUUCCGUUAUUUAAAUUCUCAGUCUCAGCAGUUUUUUUAUGGACUACCAGAAUUACAGGAUUUAACAGAGUCUUUCUCAAACAGGACCCCGAAUUUCAUAACUCAUAUCGAUUUAAGUUCAGGAUUUUUUCAGAUGCCUAUAUCUCCAGACAGCCAACGAUAUACCGCAUUCAACACUUGUUACGGUACAUAUCAAUUUCUCCGCCUACCAAUGGGUUUAAGUUCAUCGCCAGGAUCAUUUCAACUUUUAAUGGACAAAGUGCUCCAUGGGUUAACAUUCAAUUCUUGUCUGUGUUAUUUAGAUGACGUUUUAAUAACAUCAGAAACCUUUGAGCAACACCUUAGUGAUUUACAUGAGGUAUUUAAUCGUUUACAAGCCGCUGGCCUAAAAUUGGGCCCUAAGAAAUGUCAUUUUGCACAGAAAUCUUGUUUGUUUCUUGGCCACCUUAUUUCUAAAGACGGUAUACAACCACCGCCUGAUCGAAUUACAGCAGUUCAAGAAUAUCCGUCACCCCGAUCAGUACGUGAACUUCGCCGUGCACUAGGUCUGUUGAACUGGUUCAAGAAAUUUAUUCCAAAUUUUAGCGCUGAAAUAGAACCUCUAACCAAACUUCUUCGGAAAAACGCCAAAUUUCGUUGGACAUCAGAACAAGAAAAUGCAUUUACCAAGUUGAAAUCUUUAUUGACAAAUUCUCCGAUCUUAGCAUUUCCAAAUUUUCAUACUGAGUUUUAUUUAGCAGUGGAUACCAGUUCUAAAGGUAUAGGAUACAUGUUGUACCAGUAUCAGGAGACAGCUAGCGAUAGUAAGGAGGUCAGUGUAAUUCGUUUUGGUUCUAAGUCAUUAAGCAAAUGGCAAAGAUCGUACGGACCUACAAAAUUAGAAUUACUAGGGAUGGUAACAGCUAUUUUAGAUUGUGCAAUGUAUUUGAGGGGUCGUAAAUUUAUUGUCGAGUGCGACCACCAGGCCCUUCGGCCUAUAUUUCAAAAACAACUUAAAGGGGCCAUAUAUGAACGCUGGGUAGCAAUAUUGCAACAGUUCAAUUUUGAACUACGAUAUAAACCGGCAAAAGAUAUGCAGGUUGCAGACGCUUUAUCUCGGUCAACUCGAUUGACUAGUUGUGAAGGUAUUGAUAGUCCUGAUCAAGAGGACCCAUUUUUUCCGUACGUUCCCGAACAUGUUGGUGAUAUACAAUUUGAAGGAAAGCGUGUUAAAUUUCCGAAUUUUAUGGAUUCUGAAAGUACUGAUUUUCAAGAACACAAUCUUCCGGAAGUUAACAACGUAAUGCAAAGUCACGACUCCAUUAGGAAUUUAAAACAUUUUAAGCGCAGUAAACAAUUUCAAAACAAACAAUUAGAUUUUGGAUAUGACGCUGAUACAGAAGAUUACGAUGUAGCAGAUCAAACAAUUUCCAAAAUAAAAAGUCAGUUACCAGAUUACAUAAAAUAUCAACAAUUCACGGACAAAUGUGACUCUGAAGACCGUAAUAUAACAGCAGAUACAGGAAACCGUGAUAUACCGGAAACUUCAUCUCAAAAUAUUGACACUGAAAAUCAGUCAGAAUCAGUCGAUCACAAAACAAGUGCUAAAAAUCAGGAUACAGAAAUUUCUACGGAAAAGGAAGAUCAUUCAAAUUUUACAACGUUAAAUACCGAUGGUGACGAAACCCAAACUAAUCUUAGUACAGAAACGGCUACAAGUGAGAACAAUACGCAAGUUAAAUUCACUGAUUCAAUUGAAAUUUUUAGACAUGGUGAUUUUAGUAAGGACACUUUUCAAAAACUGCAAGUGCGGGACCCAUACUUUGGACCUUUUAUAUCAUAUUUUGAACAGAAUAAAUUACCCUCUUCACAGAAAGCUGCUAGAAAACUUCUACUCGAAACUCCAAAUUAUGACAUGGUGGAUGGAUUGCUUUUUCAUACUCGUACAGCAAAGUGUAAACGGACAAAACUUUUCACUUCGUAUCAACUAGCGUUACCAGAGGUCGCUAUUAAAACCGUUCUUCGAUUGUACCAUGACUCACCGUUAGGUGGACACGGUGGCAUUCAACAUACAGCGGACAUGUUAAAAGAACAUUAUUAUUUCCCGAAAUUAUUACAGAGUGUGACGGAUUAUGUUAGAAGUUGUCACGAUUGUCAGAGCCGAAAAGUUACUCAAGUUAAAACAAAAGCAGGUAUCGUCGCUUUUAAGACACCUGAAGCGCCUUUUCAGGUUUGGCAAAUGGACCUAUACGGACCUGUACCAGUGUCAGCAAAAGGAAACUCUUAUAUAUUUACAGCCGUCGAUGCGUUCACAAAAUUUUUAGUUGCAGAGCCUAUACCAAACAAAGAUGCGUUGACAGUUGCGGAAGUCUUGUUUAAACUUGUAUCUCAAUAUGGAGUUUGCGAUACUCUGAUCAGUGACCGUGGUUCGGAAGCCACCGCUCGUGCAAUUAAGGAAGUGUGUCGAUUACUGGAGAUAAAUCAGCAAUACACACCGAGUUUUACUCACCACUGUCUUGGUUUGUGUGAAAGAACGCAUAGAACGUUUGCAGAACGCAUGACGCCUUACAUUCAACAGGGAAAACAUUGGGAGGAUAUGGUACCAUCUAUUUUAUUUUCAUUAAAUUCAACUGCCAAUGACAGUGUAAAAUAUUCACCUUUUGAAAUUCUUUACGGCAGUCGUCCUAAAUUUCCUUUGUCGGGACACGUUCGUGAUUUGAAUUUAGCGUCAAUCCCAAAAGAUUAUCAUGACUAUCUUAAACAAUUUUCCGAAAGAUUAGAUAUUAUUCGGAAUGAAGUAAAGGAUCACGCACUAAAGUCGCAAACAGCAAUGAUGGAACGCGCUAAUCAAAAAAGUUCAUAA
Molecule: small RNA, 3975 nt
Filed under: Mytilus galloprovincialis (Mediterranean mussel)
Lineage: Eukaryota; Metazoa; Mollusca; Bivalvia; Mytilida; Mytilidae
Source: RNAcentral